CAGGACGAACGCUGGCGGCGUGCUUAAUACAUGCAAGUCAACUUGACUUUAGAUAGACAUAUCGAAAAGUAGGGUGGCGCACGGGUGCGUAACGCGUAGGUAAUCUGCCCUGAGGUCUGACAUAACCCGUCGAAAGGCGGGCUAACAUCAGAUGAUAUAUAAUCACGACAUCGUGGAAAUAUCAAAUCUUCGGAGCCUUGGGAUGAGCCUGCGUCUGAUUAGGUAGUUGGCGGAGUAAUAGCCCACCAAGCCUACGAUCAGUAGCUGGUCUGAGAGGAUGAUCAGCCACACUGGAACUGAGACACGGUCCAGACUCCUACGGGAGGCAGCAGUAAGGAAUAUUGCUCAAUGGGGGAAACCCUGAAGCAGCAACGCCGCGUGAAGGAUGAAAUACUUUGUAUGUAAACUUCUGUAAGAUGGGAAAAUAUUCUCCUCGGGAGAAUUGAUAGUACCAUCAGAGUAAGCCCCGGCUAACUACGUG
Molecule: ribosomal RNA, 481 nt
Filed under: uncultured bacterium
Lineage: Bacteria
Description: bacterial SSU rRNA
Rfam family: Bacterial small subunit ribosomal RNA
Source: RNAcentral